CGUCGGUGAGGUGAUAUGAACCGUUAUAACCGGCGAUUUCCGAAUGGGGAAACCCAGUGUGUUUCGACACACUAUCAUUAACUGAAUCCAUAGGUUAAUGAGGCGAACCGGGGGAACUGAAACAUCUAAGUACCCCGAGGAAAAGAAAUCAACCGAGAUUCCCCCAGUAGCGGCGAGCGAACGGGGAGGAGCCCAGAGCCUGAAUCAGUGUGUGUGUUAGUGGAAGCGUCUGGAAAGGCGCGCGAUACAGGGUGACAGCCCCGUACACAAAAAUGCACACAUUGUGAGCUCGAUGAGUAGGGCGGGACACGUGGUAUCCUGUCUGAAUAUGGGGGGACCAUCCUCCAAGGCUAAAUACUCCUGACUGACCGAUAGUGAACCAGUACCGUGAGGGAAAGGCGAAAAGAACCCCGGCGAGGGGAGUGAAAAAGAACCUGAAACCGUGUACGUACAAGCAGUGGGAGCCUCUUAAUGGGGUGACUGCGUACCUUUUGUAUAAUGGGUCAGCGACUUAUAUUCUGUAGCAAGGUUAACCGAAUAGGGGAGCCGAAGGGAAACCGAGUCUUAACUGGGCGUUAAGUUGCAGGGUAUAGACCCGAAACCCGGUGAUCUAGCCAUGGGCAGGUUGAAGGUUGGGUAACACUAACUGGAGGACCGAACCGACUAAUGUUGAAAAAUUAGCGGAUGACUUGUGGCUGGGGGUGAAAGGCCAAUCAAACCGGGAGAUAGCUGGUUCUCCCCGAAAGCUAUUUAGGUAGCGCCUCGUGAAUUCAUCUCCGGGGGUAGAGCACUGUUUCGGCAAGGGGGUCAUCCCGACUUACCAACCCGAUGCAAACUGCGAAUACCGGAGAAUGUUAUCACGGGAGACACACGGCGGGUGCUAACGUCCGUCGUGAAGAGGGAAACAACCCAGACCGCCAGCUAAGGUCCCAAAGUCAUGGUUAAGUGGGAAACGAUGUGGGAAGGCCCAGACAGCCAGGAUGUUGGCUUAGAAGCAGCCAUCAUUUAAAGAAAGCGUAAUAGCUCACUGGUCGAGUCGGCCUGCGCGGAAGAUGUAACGGGGCUAAACCAUGCACCGAAGCUGCGGCAGCGACACUAUGUGUUGUUGGGUAGGGGAGCGUUCUGUAAGCCUGCGAAGGUGUACUGUGAGGUAUGCUGGAGGUAUCAGAAGUGCGAAUGCUGACAUAAGUAACGAUAAAGCGGGUGAAAAGCCCGCUCGCCGGAAGACCAAGGGUUCCUGUCCAACGUUAAUCGGGGCAGGGUGAGUCGACCCCUAAGGCGAGGCCGAAAGGCGUAGUCGAUGGGAAACAGGUUAAUAUUCCUGUACUUGGUGUUACUGCGAAGGGGGGACGGAGAAGGCUAUGUUGGCCGGGCGACGGUUGUC
This 1384-nucleotide ribosomal RNA is filed under the name Escherichia coli. RNAcentral describes it as "partial 23S ribosomal RNA". It matches the Rfam family "Bacterial large subunit ribosomal RNA", at positions 76 to 1506 of the family's 2925-position model. Lineage: Bacteria; Pseudomonadati; Pseudomonadota; Gammaproteobacteria; Enterobacterales; Enterobacteriaceae. The record is from RNAcentral.